GUCAGGUUGGCCGAGUGGUCUAAGGCGUCAGAUUUAAGCUCUGAUCCCCUCAUGGGGUCGUGGGUUCGAACCCCACACCUGACA
This is a non-coding RNA of Thrips palmi, 84 nucleotides long. The record is from the annotation of a RefSeq genome assembly. NCBI's taxonomy places the organism in Eukaryota, Metazoa, Arthropoda, Insecta, Thysanoptera, Thripidae.